GUAGAUAUAGUUUAACGAAAACACUAGAUUGUGAUUCUAGAAACAGAGGUUAAACCCCUCUUAUCCACC
RNAcentral lists this transfer RNA (69 nucleotides) under Hyporhamphus quoyi. Its description in RNAcentral is "tRNA-His". It matches the Rfam family "tRNA". From Rfam's summary of the family: Transfer RNA (tRNA) molecules are approximately 80 nucleotides in length. Their secondary structure includes four short double-helical elements and three loops (D, anti-codon, and T loops). Further hydrogen bonds mediate the characteristic L-shaped molecular structure. tRNAs have two regions of fundamental functional importance: the anti-codon, which is responsible for specific mRNA codon recognition, and the 3' end, to which the tRNAs corresponding amino acid is attached (by aminoacyl-tRNA synthetases). tRNAs cope with the degeneracy of the genetic code in two manners: having more than one tRNA (with a specific anti-codon) for a particular amino acid; and 'wobble' base-pairing, i.e. permitting non-standard base-pairing at the 3rd anti-codon position. Lineage: Eukaryota; Metazoa; Chordata; Actinopteri; Beloniformes; Hemiramphidae. The record is from RNAcentral.